AACGAACGCUGGCGGCAGGCUUAACACAUGCAAGUCGAGCGGGCCCUUCGGGGUCAGCGGCGGACGGGUGAGUAACGCGUGGGAACGUGCCCUCUUCUACGGAAUAGCCCAGGGAAACCUGGAUUAAUGCCGUAUACGCCCGAAAGGGGAAAGAUUUAUCGGAGGAGGAUCGGCCCGCGUCGGAUUAGGUAGUUGGUGGGGUAAUGGCCUACCAAGCCGACGAUCCAUAGCUGGUUUGAGAGGAUGAUCAGCCACACUGGGACUGAGACACGGCCCAGACUCCUACGGGAGGCAGCAGUGGGGAAUCUUGGACAAUGGGGGCAACCCUGAUCCAGCCAUGCCGCGUGAACGAUGAAGGCCUUAGGGUUGUAAAGUUCUUUCAGCUGGGAAGAUAAUGACGGUACCAGCAGAAGAAGCCCCGGCUAACUCCGUGCCAGCCGCCGCAGUAA
Molecule: ribosomal RNA, 449 nt
Filed under: uncultured bacterium
Lineage: Bacteria
Description: partial 16S ribosomal RNA
Rfam family: Bacterial small subunit ribosomal RNA
Source: RNAcentral